UUCUCUCUUGGGGCACAUUUACUAUAAUUGGAAUGAUACGGAGAAGGCUGGCAUGGCCCCUAUGCAAGGAUGACAUGCAGAUUUGCGAAUCAUUCUAUACUUUU
Callithrix jacchus (white-tufted-ear marmoset) is the source of this 104-nucleotide small nuclear RNA. NCBI's taxonomy places the organism in Eukaryota, Metazoa, Chordata, Mammalia, Primates, Cebidae. The record is from Ensembl.